RNAcentral lists this ribosomal RNA (520 nucleotides) under uncultured Glomeromycotina. RNAcentral's name for it is "SSU rRNA". It matches the Rfam family "Eukaryotic small subunit ribosomal RNA", at positions 569 to 1093 of the family's 1831-position model. Lineage: Eukaryota; Fungi; Glomeromycota. The record is from RNAcentral.
AGCAGCCGCGGUAAUUCCAGCUCCAAUAGCGUAUAUUAAAGUUGUUGCAGUUAAAAAGCUCGUAGUUGAAUUUCGGGAUCAAUAUGUUGGUCGUGCCUUGGUACGUACUAAUUUAUUGGUUUCUUCCUUCUGACGAACCAUGAUGUCAUUAAUUUGGUGUUAUGGGGAAUCAGAACUGUUACUUUGAAAAAAUUAGAGUGUUUAAAGCAGGCUCACGCUUGAAUACAUUAGCAUGGAAUAAUGAAAUAGGACGUUUGAUUCUAUUUUGUUGGUUUCUAGGAUCGACGUAAUGAUUAAUAGGGAUAGUUGGGGGGCAUUAGUAUUCAAUUGUCAGAGGUGAAAUUCUUGGAUUUAUUGAAGACUAACUACUGCGAAAGCAUUUGCCAAGGAUGUUUUCAUUAAUCAAGAACGAAAGUUAGGGGAUCGAAGACGAUCAGAUACCGUCGUAGUCUUAACCAUAAACUAUGCCGACUAGGGAUCGGAUGAUGUUAAUUUUAAUGACUCAUUCGGCGCCUUACGG